GAUGAAGAACGUAGCAAAAUGCGAUAAGUAAUGUGAAUUGCAGAAUUCAGUGAAUCAUCGAAUCUUUGAACGCACAUUGCGCCCGCUGGUAUUCCGGCGGGCAUGCCUGUUCGAGCGUCAUUUCAACCCUCAAGCCCCCGGGUUUGGUGUUGGGGAUCGGCUCUGCCCUUCUGGGCGGUGCCGCCCCCGAAAUACAUUGGCGGUCUCGCUGCAGCCUCCAUUGCGUAGUAGCUAACACCUCGCAACUGGAACGCGGCGCGGCCAUGCCGUAAAACCCCAACUUCUGAAUGUUGACCUCGGAUCAGGUAGGAAUACCCGCUGAACUUAAGCAUAUCAAUAAGCGGAGGGA
This 349-nucleotide unclassified non-coding RNA is filed under the name soil metagenome. RNAcentral's name for it is "partial contains 5.8S ribosomal RNA, internal transcribed spacer 2, and large subunit ribosomal RNA". The stretch from base 1 to 120 matches the Rfam family "5.8S ribosomal RNA", at positions 35 to 154 of the family's 154-position model. The record is from RNAcentral.